This 73-nucleotide transfer RNA is filed under the name Balamuthia mandrillaris. RNAcentral describes it as "tRNA-Lys". It matches the Rfam family "tRNA". Rfam says of the family: Transfer RNA (tRNA) molecules are approximately 80 nucleotides in length. Their secondary structure includes four short double-helical elements and three loops (D, anti-codon, and T loops). Lineage: Eukaryota; Discosea; Longamoebia; Balamuthiidae. The record is from RNAcentral.
UAGUGUAUAGCUCAAUUGGUAGAGCGAUGGUCUCUUAAAUCAUCGGUUUCAGGUUCGAGUCCUGAUGCACCCA